RNAcentral lists this ribosomal RNA (368 nucleotides) under uncultured organism. RNAcentral's name for it is "bacterial SSU rRNA". It matches the Rfam family "Bacterial small subunit ribosomal RNA", at positions 526 to 896 of the family's 1533-position model. The record is from RNAcentral.
CGAAGGGUGCAAGCGUUAUCCGGAUUCAUUGGGUUUAAAGGGUGCGUAGGUGGGGCGAUAAGUCAGUGGUGAAAUCCUGCAGCUCAACUGUAGAAUUGCCAUUGAUACUGCCGCUCUUGAGUACGCUUGACGUGGGCGGAAUGUGCCGUGUAGCGGUGAAAUGCUUAGAUAUGGCACAGAACACCGAUAGUGAAGACAGCUCACGAAGGCGAAACUGACACUGAGGCACGAAAGCGUGGGGAUCGAACAGGAUUAGAUACCCUGGUAGUCCACGCCGUAAACGAUGAUCACUCGUGAUUGGCGAUAUACGGUCAGUCACCUAGCGAAAGCGUUAAGUGAUCCACCUGGGGAGUACGAUCGCAAGAUUG